This 391-nucleotide ribosomal RNA is filed under the name uncultured bacterium. RNAcentral's name for it is "bacterial SSU rRNA". It matches the Rfam family "Bacterial small subunit ribosomal RNA", at positions 413 to 796 of the family's 1533-position model. The record is from RNAcentral.
GGCCUUCGGGUUGUAAACUGCUUUUGUACGGAACGAAAAGGCCCUGGUGAACAACCGGGGUUGCUGACGGUACCGUAAGAAUAAGCACCGGCUAACUACGUGCCAGCAGCCGCGGUAAUACGUAGGGUGCGAGCGUUGUCCGGAAUUAUUGGGCGUAAAGAGCUCGUAGGCGGUUUGUCACGUCUGCUGUGAAAACCCGAGGCUCAACCUCGGGCCUGCAGUGGGUACGGGCAGACUAGAGUGCGGUAGGGGAGAACGGAAUUCCUGGUGUAGCGGUGGAAUGCGCAGAUAUCAGGAGGAACACCGAUGGCGAAGGCAGUUCUCUGGGCCGUAACUGACGCUGAGGAGCGAAAGCGUGGGGAGCGAACAGGAUUAGAUACCCUGGUAGUCC